UUCAAUUUUUUUUAAAAACACGUAUUUCAUUUCUUGGAUCUCUUUCUUCUUCCUGUAACUACACAAUUCUUCCCAUAGAAGCAUCAAUGGCUUCCUCUUGGCCAUCUCCUGUGUCAAAUUCUCAAAUGAUGACACCCUCACUCUCUUGGUCUCCGCCUCCCUCGACAAGACCAUUGCUAUUUGGUCCUCCUCCAUCGUCUCGUCGUCCACUCCGAGGGCAUCUCCGAACUUCCUUGGUCCUCCGAAUCCCACUGCAUUUGUUCUGCUUAUGACGACCACCUUCCGCCAAAGGUGAAUGCGUCAAGACCUUCUGUGGCCACUCUGACCUAGUUUUCUGCGUUAACUUCAACCCUAGUCUAACCUCAUCGUCUCUGGCUCCUUCAACGACACAAUUAGGAUCUGGGAGUCAAAACUGGCAUUGCUUCACUCAAUUAAGGCUCACUUUAUGCCUGUUGCCUUCGUACACUUUAAUCGCGAUGGUUCGUUCAUUGUGUCCGGUAGUCAUGGUGGGUCCUGCAAGAUUUGGGACUCUGCCACUGUUGGUUGCUUGAAGACACUUACUGACGAUAAGGUCCUGCUGUGUAAAUAUGUGCUCGUCCAAUUUCCUUGAUUGAUCCAUGUAUAUAUAUAUAUAUAUAUUUCAUAGUGAUGGACGAUAAUCAGAUGUUAAUUUAAGCUAUGCUUUGUGUUUUUCUAUUCAUUUAAAAUAAUAAUUGCUUUCAUGUUUUUCGGUUCUCUGCUUAGUCAAAUUUGAGGCUUGUGCCCUUUGCCAAGAUUACAGAGAACAUUGGGGAAUGGGCCUCGUUGUGAUGCCACUUCUCUAACAAUAUACCUCACUGGAGAGGAAGCUCCUCGCUGAAUUCCUAGAGAGAACUUACUGAUGAAUUCAGAGCUCAAGCAAUUUGUUAUCUCAUUUCUUUUAUUUGAUUUUUUUCUUAUGUUUCUAUUUCUUUAGAUUUGAGGCUGUUACUAAAAUGUUGUGUAUUUUGAUGGAUUUCAACUUUCUGUUAUAGGUUAUGAAUGAGUUCUCAAGGAGGGGAGACGAGUCAGAAUGAUUAGCCUUUGUGAUUUGGAAAUCAGGAUUGAAGUUCCAUUUGGUUUUGGUGCUUUGCAGUCUAUCACCACUCUUUCCAAAAAAUAUUAACUUGUUUUGGCAAGAUUAGGCACAGUUUAGUCAAUAUUGAUUUAAACUUUUAUGGUUGACGUUUGAAUUCAUUUUCUAAUACAUUUGAAGCUAUUCUGAUGGUGGUUGAGUUAUAUUACUUCAGUUCCAAAUGUAAACAUAUCAAAUGCAACAAUAUCUAUAUGCAACUUUUAGUUCCAAAUA
This is a long non-coding RNA of Humulus lupulus (European hop), 1327 nucleotides long. RefSeq lists it as uncharacterized. Lineage: Eukaryota; Viridiplantae; Streptophyta; Magnoliopsida; Rosales; Cannabaceae. The transcript is spliced from 2 exons. The record is from RefSeq and is a predicted model, not a curated record.